This 254-nucleotide ribosomal RNA is filed under the name uncultured bacterium. Its description in RNAcentral is "partial 16S ribosomal RNA". It matches the Rfam family "Bacterial small subunit ribosomal RNA", at positions 524 to 776 of the family's 1533-position model. The record is from RNAcentral.
UACAGAGGUCCCGAGCGUUGUUCGGAUUCAUUGGGCGUAAAGGGUGCGUAGCGGCGGGGCCAGUCUGAUGUGAAAUCCCCGGGGCUCAACCCCGGAACUGCAUUGGAUACUGCCUUGCUAGAGUACUGGAGAGGAACUGGAAUUUACGGUGUAGCAGUGAAAUGCGUAGAGAUCGUAAGGAAGGCCGGUGGCGAAGGCGGCAUCCUGGACCGGCACUUGACGCUGAGGCGCGAAAAGCCAGGGGAGCAAACGGG